This is a microRNA precursor of Cercocebus atys (sooty mangabey), 72 nucleotides long. The record is from Ensembl. Lineage: Eukaryota; Metazoa; Chordata; Mammalia; Primates; Cercopithecidae.
GGUGGGAGGAUUGCUUGAGCCUGGAAGCUGGAGGUUGCAGUGAGCUGAGAUUGCACCGCUGCACUCCAGCCU